GUGUCAGCCGCCGCGGUAAUACGGAGGGUGCAAGCGUUAUCCGGAUUCACUGGGUUUAAAGGGUGCGUAGGUGGGUUUGUAAGUCAGUGGUGAAAUCUCCGAGCUUAACUCGGAAACUGCCAUUGAUACUAUAGAUCUUGAAUCAUCUGGAGGUAAGCGGAAUAUGUCAUGUAGCGGUGAAAUGCUUAGAUAUGACAUAGAACACCAAUUGCGAAGGCAGCUUACUACGGGUGUAUUGACACUGAGGCACGAAAGCGUGGGGAUCAAACAGGAUUAGAAACCCCCGUAGUCC
This 292-nucleotide ribosomal RNA is filed under the name uncultured bacterium. RNAcentral's name for it is "partial 16S ribosomal RNA". It matches the Rfam family "Bacterial small subunit ribosomal RNA", at positions 505 to 796 of the family's 1533-position model. The record is from RNAcentral.